UUACUUAUUAUUACUAGAUGGGUUUAAUAAACUCUCCAGAAGUAAUCUCAAAUAGCAUUCAGAAACUGCUACAAACAGAUAAAUAUUACAUCACAAGACCUCAGAACCGCAGCAAAUCAUACUACAAGUUACAGAACAAAGUCUAUUAAAUCUCCUUAUCAGAACAUGGUUGCAACCGAUUCAAGAAAAGAGUUUCAUCCUGGCUUUGAAUUGCCAAUUGUCAUCAAACUCACACCUCAUGCAUUGCUUGAUUGCUUCAGUGCAGUUCGUCCAUACCAGUAAACUUGCUACAAAGCAUGGAAAGAAACAGAAUAAGGUACUGCAGUGCACAAAAAUGAUUCUGGCAGCAAGUACUCUACAAAGCUGAUUCUGGCAAUAAAUGACUACACACAUUGACAAAAGAAAUGAUUCUGGGAGUAUGUGUUCUACACACAUUGAUAUAAAACUGGUUCUAGGUUGCUGCAUGAAGCCAUUGAACUGCAUACCAAUCAUGAUGUGGCUGUUAAUUUAGCAAGUUUGAUUUAUCCUGUAGGAUCAGAUGUUUCCAGCACCUACCUUUCAUUCUGUAAUAUAAUUGUGGCACAGAGAAGCAGCUUAUUAAGCCAAAUACUAUGCUUCAGACGAAUGACCAGCUUAUGUUCCUCUAUAAGUUUUGAAGAUUUCAGAGAACUAACACGCGCACAGCUAGCUUUCUUUUUGUGAUGAUGCACAAGCACAAAACAUCGCAAGCAAGCUGCAAGACUGAUCAAUAGAACUACAUCCUAAUCGACACCUCUACCCAGGGAAUCUACAUCCUCAUCACGACCCGGAGAUCCACGCCUCAUCACGACCCGCAGGCCGCGGAUCCACAUUUGAGAGAUCUACUACGAACAGGAAAAGCGUAUGAGACAGAUCAGAGGGGAUCAAGAACUCGCAUACCUUGAGAGCAGCGUCGUCGAAGACGGCUUCUUGGAUGCGCCGACGAGCAGGCGGACGGCGGCGGCGGAGGAAACCGAGCAGGCGACGGUGGCUCCCGCAGCGAUAGGCCCUCGAUGUGGUGUGCGGGCGCUUGUUCCCC
This 1057-nucleotide long non-coding RNA is filed under the name Setaria italica (foxtail millet). RNAcentral describes it as "long non-coding RNA (SITA_LNC003523)". The record is from RNAcentral. Lineage: Eukaryota; Viridiplantae; Streptophyta; Magnoliopsida; Poales; Poaceae.